GAUGAACGCUGGCGGCGUGCCUAAUACAUGCAAGUCGAGCGAACGGACGAGAAGCUUGCUUCUCUGAUGUUAGCGGCGGACGGGUGAGUAACACGUGGAUAACCUACCUAUAAGACUGGGAUAACUCCGGGAAACCGGGGCUAAUACCGAAUAAUCAGUUUGUCCGCAUGGACAAACUCUGAAAGACGGUUUCGGCUGUCACUGUAGGAUGGGCCCGCGGCGCAUUAGCUAGUUGGUGGGGUAAUGGCCUACCAAGGCAACGAUGCGUAGCCGACCUGAGAGGGUGAUCGGCCACACUGGGACUGAGACACGGCCCAG
RNAcentral lists this ribosomal RNA (318 nucleotides) under uncultured bacterium. Its description in RNAcentral is "bacterial SSU rRNA". It matches the Rfam family "Bacterial small subunit ribosomal RNA", at positions 28 to 334 of the family's 1533-position model. The record is from RNAcentral.